AUAAUAUAAAUUAUUUAUGGUUUAAUUUAAUUUAUUAUUUAUUUAUUUUACAUAUAAAUUUUAGUAUUUAAAAUUAUUUAUUUAAAUAAUAAUUAAUUUAUUUUAUAGUAAUUAAUAUUAAAAAUUUAAGAAAUUAAGAUUUAGUAAUAUAAAAAUUAUUAACAAAUUUUGUGCCAGCAGUUGCGGUUAAACAAAAAUUAAUUUAAAUUUUAUUAGUAAUUAAUUAAAAUUUAAUUUAAAAAUUUAAAUAUUAAAUUAUUAAGUGAAAUUUUAAUUUAAUUAAAAAUUUACUUAUUAUUUUAAUAAAUUUUAUUAUAAACUAGGAUUAGAUACCCUAUUAUUAAAAAUUUAAAUAAAAAUACUAAAAAAGUAAUUAUAAAAAUAUAUUGAAACUUAAAUAAUUUGGCGGUAUUUUAGUUCAUUUAGAGGAAUCUGUUUAAUAAUUGAUAAUCCACGAAUAAAUUUACUUAUUUUAUUAUUUUGUAUAUCGUUGUUAAAAAAAUAUUUUUUAAAAUAAAUAAUAUUUAAAAAUUAUAAAUAAUAAAUUAAAUCAGAUCAAGAUGCAGAUUAUAAAUAAGAAUAUAAUGGAUUACAAUAAAUUUAUUUAAAUGGAUAAUAUUUUGAAAAAAUUAUUUUAAAUUGGAUUUAAAUGUAAUUUUAUUUAGUUAAAUAAAAUGAUUAUAAAUUAAAAUAUGUACAUAUUGCCCGUCGCUUUCAUUAAUAAAUUGAAAUAAGUCGUAACAAAGUAGAGGUACUGGAAAGUGUUUCUAGAAAGAA
RNAcentral lists this non-coding RNA (777 nucleotides) under Narosa nigrisigna. The record is from RNAcentral. Lineage: Eukaryota; Metazoa; Arthropoda; Insecta; Lepidoptera; Limacodidae.